UGGAAAAGAUGAAAAAAACUUUUUUUUGGAAUUACCGGCCUAGGAAUAGUUUACUCCUAUUCCGCUGAAGAAUAAAUGUGCUGCAAUUAUGCUGAUCCAU
Molecule: small nucleolar RNA, 100 nt
Filed under: Schizosaccharomyces pombe (fission yeast)
Lineage: Eukaryota; Fungi; Ascomycota; Schizosaccharomycetes; Schizosaccharomycetales; Schizosaccharomycetaceae
Description: small nucleolar RNA Z7
Source: RNAcentral